RNAcentral lists this ribosomal RNA (1451 nucleotides) under Weissella confusa. RNAcentral describes it as "bacterial SSU rRNA". It matches the Rfam family "Bacterial small subunit ribosomal RNA". The record is from RNAcentral. Lineage: Bacteria; Bacillati; Bacillota; Bacilli; Lactobacillales; Lactobacillaceae.
CAUGCAAGUUCGAACGCUUUGUGGUUCCAACUGAUUUGAAGAAGCUUGCUCAGAUAUGACGAUGGACAUUGCAAAGAGUGGCGAACGGGUGAGUAACACGUGGGAAACCUACCUCUUAGCAGGGGAUAACAUUUGGAAACAGAUGCUAAUACCGUAUAACAAUGACAACCGCAUGGUUGUUAUUUAAAAGAUGGUUCUGCUAUCACUAAGAGAUGGUCCCGCGGUGCAUUAGCUAGUUGGUAAGGUAAUGGCUUACCAAGGCGAUGAUGCAUAGCCGAGUUGAGAGACUGAUCGGCCACAAUGGGACUGAGACACGGCCCAUACUCCUACGGGAGGCAGCAGUAGGGAAUCUUCCACAAUGGGCGAAAGCCUGAUGGAGCAACGCCGCGUGUGUGAUGAAGGGUUUCGGCUCGUAAAACACUGUUGUAAGAGAAGAAUGACAUUGAGAGUAACUGUUCAAUGUGUGACGGUAUCUUACCAGAAAGGAACGGCUAAAUACGUGCCAGCAGCCGCGGUAAUACGUAUGUUCCAAGCGUUAUCCGGAUUUAUUGGGCGUAAAGCGAGCGCAGACGGUUAUUUAAGUCUGAAGUGAAAGCCCUCAGCUCAACUGAGGAAUUGCUUUGGAAACUGGAUGACUUGAGUGCAGUAGAGGAAAGUGGAACUCCAUGUGUAGCGGUGAAAUGCGUAGAUAUAUGGAAGAACACCAGUGGCGAAGGCGGCUUUCUGGACUGUAACUGACGUUGAGGCUCGAAAGUGUGGGUAGCAAACAGGAUUAGAUACCCUGGUAGUCCACACCGUAAACGAUGAGUGCUAGGUGUUUGAGGGUUUCCGCCCUUAAGUGCCGCAGCUAACGCAUUAAGCACUCCGCCUGGGGAGUACGACCGCAAGGUUGAAACUCAAAGGAAUUGACGGGGACCCGCACAAGCGGUGGAGCAUGUGGUUUAAUUCGAAGCAACGCGAAGAACCUUACCAGGUCUUGACAUCCCUUGACAACUCCAGAGAUGGAGUGUUCCCUUCGGGGACAAGGUGACAGGUGGUGCAUGGUUGUCGUCAGCUCGUGUCGUGAGAUGUUGGGUUAAGUCCCGCAACGAGCGCAACCCUUAUUACUAGUUGCCAGCAUUCAGUUGGGCACUCUAGUGAGACUGCCGGUGACAAACCGGAGGAAGGUGGGGAUGACGUCAAAUCAUCAUGCCCCUUAUGACCUGGGCUACACACGUGCUACAAUGGCGUAUACAACGAGUUGCCAACCCGCGAGGGUGAGCUAAUCUCUUAAAGUACGUCUCAGUUCGGAUUGUAGGCUGCAACUCGCCUACAUGAAGUCGGAAUCGCUAGUAAUCGCGGAUCAGCACGCCGCGGUGAAUACGUUCCCGGGUCUUGUACACACCGCCCGUCACACCAUGAGAGUUUGUAACACCCAAAGCCGGUGGGGUAACCUUCGGGAGCCAGCCGUC